ACUCAAAGGAAUUGACGGGGGCCUGCACAAGCGGUGGAGUAUGUGGCUUAAUUCGAUGCAACGCGAAGAACCUUACCUGGCCUUGACAUGCAAGUGGUAGAACCAUGAAAGUGGGACGACCCCGCAAGGGGAGCUUGCACAGGUGCUGCAUGGCUGUCGUCAGCUCGUGUCGUGAGAUGUUGGGUUAAGUCCCGCAACGAGCGCAACCCUUGUGUCCUGUUGCCACUCGGACGAGAGUCCGAAGCACUCUGGACAGACUGCCUCGCUUAAACGAGGAGGAAGGUGGGGAUGACGUCAAGUCAGUAUGGCCCUUACGGCCAGGGCUGCACACGUACUACAAUGCUCGGUACAAAGGGACGCGAAACCGUAAGGCGGAGCAAAUCCCAGAAAACCGAGCCCAGUUCAGAUUGUCGUCUGCAACUCGACGGCAUGAAGCCGGAAUCGCUAGUAAUGGCGCAUCAGCUACGGCGCCGUGAAUACGUUCCCAGGCCUUGUACACACCGCCCGU
Molecule: ribosomal RNA, 508 nt
Filed under: uncultured bacterium
Lineage: Bacteria
Description: partial 16S ribosomal RNA
Rfam family: Bacterial small subunit ribosomal RNA
Source: RNAcentral